This 442-nucleotide unclassified non-coding RNA is filed under the name Tsukamurella pulmonis. Its description in RNAcentral is "16S-23S ribosomal RNA intergenic spacer region". Lineage: Bacteria; Bacillati; Actinomycetota; Actinomycetes; Mycobacteriales; Tsukamurellaceae. The record is from RNAcentral.
AAGGAGCAUUUAGUGCCGUAUCAAACCCGUUCGUGGUUUGGCGGUCGCUCAUAUUAUUGGGUGGAACACUGACACGGUAAUUCUUAUCGCCUCGUGGCCGGCUGGUGCUGGUCGUUGGGGGUUUCGUCGGCACACUGUUGGGUGUCUGAGAGGACACGUCUUCUCUAGUUUGCUGCUGCGCGUCUGCGCCGGCGUAGUGGGCCCUGUGGGGUUCAUAGCUGGUGGCGGUGUGGUGGUGUGUGUUGUUUGAGAAUUGUAUAGUGGACGCGAGCAUCAACAUGACGCUGCAUCGUUUUCGGUGUGGUUGUUGUAUUAUGUUUCUGUAAUUUUACAUGUUUCUGUGUAAGCAUUUUGUUGUGUUUUUUUGGCGCUUAUGUCAUGAAGGGCACUCAGGUUUGUGACGGCUUCGGUUGUUUCAGGUUUGGUGUGUGUUUUGUGUGUU